RNAcentral lists this ribosomal RNA (253 nucleotides) under uncultured bacterium. Its description in RNAcentral is "partial 16S ribosomal RNA". It matches the Rfam family "Bacterial small subunit ribosomal RNA", at positions 524 to 776 of the family's 1533-position model. The record is from RNAcentral.
UACGUAGGGACCAAGCGUUGUUCGGAUUUACUGGGCGUAAAGGGCGCGUAGGCGGCGUGGUAAGUCAGUUGUGAAAUCUCCGAGCUUAACUCGGAACGGCCAACUGAUACUGCUGUGCUAGAGUGCAGAAGGGGCAAUCAGAAUUCUUGGUGUAGCGGUGAAAUGCGUAGAUAUCAAGAGGAAUACCAGAGGUGAAGACGGGUUGCUAGGCUGACACUGACGCUGAGGCGCGAAAGCCAGGGGAGCAAACGGG